UGACACUGGUGGAGCUGCAGGUCGUGAGGGCUGCCAUCCGAGAGUCCCUGCCUGGGGAGUCUGGCCCACUGAGCCUAGUCUGCCAUGGUGGAGAGCCUGGCCAUGACUCCGUGCUGCAGCGGCUCCUGAGGGAGGGGAUCUGUGAGCCCCACAGCCUUGGUAGCCGGGGGUGAAGAUGUCAUGCAUGCACGUGACAGUCACAUGAUUUCUGCAUUGAACCCCAAAGCUUCCACCAGCUUUCCUGGAACCUACGGCCAGAAGAGUCCUGAGAUUUCAAAUAUUAAAGCUUUCUCCACAGCC
This 300-nucleotide long non-coding RNA is filed under the name Homo sapiens (human). Its description in RNAcentral is "HSALNT0039575". The record is from RNAcentral. Lineage: Eukaryota; Metazoa; Chordata; Mammalia; Primates; Hominidae.